This 838-nucleotide ribosomal RNA is filed under the name Chlorophyllum lusitanicum. Its description in RNAcentral is "eukaryotic LSU rRNA". It matches the Rfam family "Eukaryotic large subunit ribosomal RNA", at positions 81 to 906 of the family's 3401-position model. Lineage: Eukaryota; Fungi; Basidiomycota; Agaricomycetes; Agaricales; Agaricaceae. The record is from RNAcentral.
UAGUAACUGCGAGUGAAGCGGGAAAAGCUCAAAUUUAAAAUCUGGCGGUCUCUGGCCGUCCGAGUUGUAAUCUAGAGAAGUAAUGCCCGCGCUGGACCGUGUACAAGUCUCCUGGGAUGGAGCAUCAUAGAGGGUGAGAAUCCCGUCUCUGACACGGACUACCAGGGCUUUGUGGUAUGCUCUCAAAGAGUCGAGUUGUUUGGGAAUGCAGCUCAAAAUGGGUGGUAAAUUCCAUCUAAAGCUAAAUAUUGGCGAGAGACCGAUAGCGAACAAGUACCGUGAGGGAAAGAUGAAAAGAACUUUGGAAAGAGAGUUAAACAGUACGUGAAAUUGCUGAAAGGGAAACGCUUGAAGUCAGUCGCGUUGGCCAGGAAUCAGCCUCGCUUUUGCGUGGUGUACUUUCUGGUUGAUGGGUCAGCAUCAAUUUUGACCACUGGAAAAAGGCCUGGGGAAUGUGGCAGCUUCGGCUGUGUUAUAGCCCCUGGUUGCAUACAGUGGUUGGGAUUGAGGAACUCAGCACGCCGCAAGGCCGGGUUUCGACCACGUUCGUGCUUAGGAUGCUGGCAUAAUGGCUUUAAGCGACCCGUCUUGAAACACGGACCAAGGAGUCUAACAUGCCUGCGAGUAUUUGGGUGGAAAACCCGAGUGCGUAAUGAAAGUGAAAGUUGAGAUCCCUGUCGUGGGGAGCAUCGACGCCCGGACCAGAACUUUUGGGACGGAUCCGCGGUAGAGCAUGUAUGUUGGGACCCGAAAGAUGGUGAACUAUGCCUGAAUAGGGUGAAGCCAGAGGAAACUCUGGUGGAGGCUCGUAGCGAUUCUGACGUGCAAAUCGAUCGUC